UACAGAGGUCCCAAGCGUUGUUCGGAUUUACUGGGCGUAAAGGGUGCGUAGGCGGUCGGGUAAGUCUGACGUGAAAUCUCCGGGCCUAACCCGGAAACUGCGUUGGAAACUAUCAGGCUAGAGGAAUGGAGGGGAGACUGGAAUACUUGGUGUAGCAGUGAAAUGCGUAGAUAUCAAGUGGAACACCAGUGGCGAAGGCGAGUCCCUGGACGAUUUCUGACACUGAGGCACGAAAGCUAGGGGAGCAAACAGG
RNAcentral lists this ribosomal RNA (253 nucleotides) under uncultured bacterium. RNAcentral's name for it is "partial 16S ribosomal RNA". It matches the Rfam family "Bacterial small subunit ribosomal RNA", at positions 524 to 776 of the family's 1533-position model. The record is from RNAcentral.